This 301-nucleotide ribosomal RNA is filed under the name uncultured bacterium. RNAcentral's name for it is "partial 16S ribosomal RNA". It matches the Rfam family "Bacterial small subunit ribosomal RNA", at positions 509 to 807 of the family's 1533-position model. The record is from RNAcentral.
CAGUAGCCGCGGUAAUACGAAGGGUGCAAGCGUUACUCGGAAUUACUGGGCGUAAAGCGUGCGUAGGUGGUGGUUUAAGUCCGUUGUGAAAGCCCUGGGCUCAACCUGGGAAUUGCAGUGGAUACUGGGUCACUAGAGUGUGGUAGAGGAUAGUGGAAUUUCCGGUGUAGCAGUGAAAUGCGUAGAGAUCGGGAGGAACAUCAGUGGCGAAGGCGGCCAUCUGGGACAACACUGACGCUGAGGCACGAAAGCGUGGGGAGCAAACAGGAUUAGAUACCCCAGUAGUCCCUGUCUCUUAUAC